This 271-nucleotide ribosomal RNA is filed under the name uncultured bacterium. RNAcentral's name for it is "partial 16S ribosomal RNA". It matches the Rfam family "Bacterial small subunit ribosomal RNA", at positions 524 to 794 of the family's 1533-position model. The record is from RNAcentral.
UACGGGGGGUGCAAGCGUUGUUCGGAAUUAUUGGGCGUAAAGCGUGCGCAGGCGGCUUUGCAAGACAGAUGUGAAAUCCCCGGACUCAACCUGGGAACUGCAUUUGUGACUGCAAGGCUAGAGUAUGGUAGAGGGGGAUGGAAUUCCGCGUGUAGCAGUGAAAUGCGUAGAUAUGCGGAGGAACACCAAUGGCGAAGGCAAUCCCCUGGACCUGUACUGACGCUCAUGCACGAAAGCGUGGGGAGCAAACAGGAUUAGAAACCCUUGUAGU